UUCUAUAAGGCCAAGGUGGAGGAGGUCAUGAAGGAAGCCGAGAUGUUGAACAAGCAAAUGGAUGCUUUGAUUGCUUUUAGAGUCAAGGUUGAGAAUCCUCAGGGUUUGGUUUUUGAUAUGUCUGAGAAGACCGUUGAGAUGACUCGUCUUGCUUCUGGGAUUGCUGCUUCUUCCGCUGCGUUAUCGGCUUCCACCCCUAAAGGAGCCAAAUCUGGAAAGAGACCUCACAUGGCCAUGGAGAUCAUUGAUGAAGGUGGGGUUAG
Molecule: unclassified non-coding RNA, 263 nt
Filed under: Hevea brasiliensis (rubber tree)
Lineage: Eukaryota; Viridiplantae; Streptophyta; Magnoliopsida; Malpighiales; Euphorbiaceae
Source: RNAcentral